AAUCAACGCUGGCGGCGUGCCUAACACAUGCAAGUCGAACGCGAAAGGGGCUUCGGCCCUGAGUAGAGUGGCGAACGGGUGAGUAACGCGUGGGUGAUCUACCUUCGAGUGGGGGAUAACGUUCCGAAAGGGACGCUAAUACCGCAUGACGUUCUGGGUUUAAAGACCUGGAAACCAAAGCCGGGGACCGCAAGGCCUGGCGCUUGAAGAGGAGCCCGCGUCCGAUUAGCUAGUUGGCGGGGUAACGCCACCAAGGCGACGA
RNAcentral lists this ribosomal RNA (262 nucleotides) under uncultured bacterium. Its description in RNAcentral is "partial 16S ribosomal RNA". It matches the Rfam family "Bacterial small subunit ribosomal RNA", at positions 32 to 279 of the family's 1533-position model. The record is from RNAcentral.